AUUGAACGCUGGCGGCAUGCCUUACACAUGCAAGUCGAACGGCAGCACGGGAGCAAUCCUGGUGGCGAGUGGCGAACGGGUGAGUAAUAUAUCGGAACGUGCCCGGUCGUGGGGGAUAACGUAGCGAAAGCUACGCUAAUACCGCAUACGAUCUACGGAUGAAAGCGGGGAUCGCAAGACCUCGCGCGAUUGGAGCGGCCGAUAUCAGAUUAGGUAGUUGGUGAGGUAAAGGCUCACCAAGCCGACGAUCUGUAGCUGGUCUGAGAGGACGACCAGCCACACUGGGACUGAGACACGGCCCAGACUCCUACGGGAGGCAGCAGUGGGGAAUUUUGGACAAUGGGCGCAAGCCUGAUCCAGCAAUGCCGCAUGCAGGAUGAAGGCCUUCGGGUUGUAAACUGCUUUUGUACGGAACGAAACGGUGAGCUCUAAUACAGUUUGCUAAUGACGGUACCGUAAGAAUAAGCACCGGCUAACUACGUG
RNAcentral lists this ribosomal RNA (483 nucleotides) under uncultured bacterium. RNAcentral's name for it is "bacterial SSU rRNA". It matches the Rfam family "Bacterial small subunit ribosomal RNA", at positions 30 to 507 of the family's 1533-position model. The record is from RNAcentral.